Molecule: ribosomal RNA, 482 nt
Filed under: uncultured bacterium
Lineage: Bacteria
Description: partial 16S ribosomal RNA
Rfam family: Bacterial small subunit ribosomal RNA
Source: RNAcentral
AUUGAACGCUGGCGGCAUGCUUUACACAUGCAAGUCGAACGGUAACAGGCCGCAAGGUGCUGACGAGUGGCGGACGGGUGCGUAAUGCAUCGGAACGUGCCCAGUCGUGGGGGAUAACUACUCGAAAGAGUAGCUAAUACCGCAUACGAUCUAUGGAUGAAAGCGGGGGACCGUAAGGCCUCGCGCGAUUGGAGCGGCCGAUGUCAGAUUAGGUAGUUGGUGGGGUAAAGGCUCACCAAGCCAACGAUCUGUAGCUGGUCUGAGAGGACGACCAGCCACACUGGAACUGAGACACGGCCCAGACUCCUACGGGAGGCAGCAGUGGGGAAUUUUGGACAAAGGGCGCAAGCCUGAUCCAGCAAUGCCGCGUGCAGGAAGAAGGCCUUCGGGUUGUAAACUGCUUUUGUACGGAACGAAACGGCUCUGGUUAAUACCCGGGGCUAAUGACGGUACCGUAAGAAUAAGCACCGGCUAACUACGUG